RNAcentral lists this ribosomal RNA (253 nucleotides) under uncultured bacterium. RNAcentral describes it as "partial 16S ribosomal RNA". It matches the Rfam family "Bacterial small subunit ribosomal RNA", at positions 524 to 776 of the family's 1533-position model. The record is from RNAcentral.
UACGAAGGGGGCUAGCGUUGUUCGGAUUUACUGGGCGUGAAGCGCACGUAGGCGGAUCGUUAAGUCAGGGGUGAAAUCCUGGGGCUCAACCCCAGAACUGCCUUUGAUACUGGCGAUCUCGAGUCCGGAAGAGGUGAGUGGAACUCCUAGUGUAGAGGUGGAAUUCGUAGAUAUUAGGAAGAACACCAGUGGCGAAGGCGGCUCACUGGUCCGGUACUGACGCUGAGGUGCGAAAGCGUGGGGAGCAAACAGG